Molecule: ribosomal RNA, 947 nt
Filed under: Acinetobacter sp.
Lineage: Bacteria; Pseudomonadati; Pseudomonadota; Gammaproteobacteria; Moraxellales; Moraxellaceae
Description: bacterial SSU rRNA
Rfam family: Bacterial small subunit ribosomal RNA
Source: RNAcentral
GCGGCGGACGGGUGAGUAAUGCUUAGGAAUCUGCCUAUUAGUGGGGGACAACAUUCCGAAAGGAAUGCUAAUACCGCAUACGCCCUACGGGGGAAAGCAGGGGAUCUUCGGACCUUGCGCUAAUAGAUGAGCCUAAGUCAGAUUAGCUAGUUGGUGGGGUAAAGGCCUACCAAGGCGACGAUCUGUAGCGGGUCUGAGAGGAUGAUCCGCCACACUGGGACUGAGACACGGCCCAGACUCCUACGGGAGGCAGCAGUGGGGAAUAUUGGACAAUGGGCGAAAGCCUGAUCCAGCCAUGCCGCGUGUGUGAAGAAGGCCUUUUGGUUGUAAAGCACUUUAAGCGAGGAGGAGGCUACCGAGAUUAAUACUCUUGGAUAGUGGACGUUACUCGCAGAAUAAGCACCGGCUAACUCUGUGCCAGCAGCCGCGGUAAUACAGAGGGUGCGAGCGUUAAUCGGAUUUACUGGGCGUAAAGCGUGCGUAGGCGGCUUUUUAAGUCGGAUGUGAAAUCCCUGAGCUUAACUUAGGAAUUGCAUUCGAUACUGGGAAGCUAGAGUAUGGGAGAGGAUGGUAGAAUUCCAGGUGUAGCGGUGAAAUGCGUAGAGAUCUGGAGGAAUACCGAUGGCGAAGGCAGCCAUCUGGCCUAAUACUGACGCUGAGGUACGAAAGCAUGGGGAGCAAACAGGAUUAGAUACCCUGGUAGUCCAUGCCGUAAACGAUGUCUACUAGCCGUUGGGGCCUUUGAGGCUUUAGUGGCGCAGCUAACGCGAUAAGUAGACCGCCUGGGGAGUACGGUCGCAAGACUAAAACUCAAAUGAAUUGACGGGGGCCCGCACAAGCGGUGGAGCAUGUGGUUUAAUUCGAUGCAACGCGAAGAACCUUACCUGGUCUUGACAUAGUAAGAACUUUCCAGAGAUGGAUUGGUGCCUUCGGGAACUUACAUACAG